GGAGCUAAUCCCUUAAAGCUACUCUCAGUUCGGAUUGUAGGCUGAAACUCGCCUACAUGAAGCUGGAGUUACUAGUAAUCGCAGAUCAGAAUGCUGCGGUGAAUGCGUUCCCGGGUCUUGUACCCACCGCCCGUCACACCACGGGAGUUGGAGACGCCCGAAGCCGAUUAUCUAACCUCUUGGAAUAAGUCGUCGAAGGUGGAAUCAAUACCUGGGGUGAAG
This 222-nucleotide ribosomal RNA is filed under the name Clostridioides difficile. RNAcentral's name for it is "partial 16S ribosomal RNA". It matches the Rfam family "Bacterial small subunit ribosomal RNA", at positions 1264 to 1485 of the family's 1533-position model. Lineage: Bacteria; Bacillati; Bacillota; Clostridia; Peptostreptococcales; Peptostreptococcaceae. The record is from RNAcentral.